GGGUAUGAGGGCAAUCUGGCUGCUACAGCAACUGUCAUCCCACUGACUACCAGGGUUAUUUGGCUCAUCUAAUUGGCUAGGCAGGUGCCCCCUCUUCCCUCGCCACUCUACAUGUGUCCUUCCCACAGCUGUGUGCUUGGUGGAAGAGGACAACCUUUCCUGAUAGGUCAACCUUCCCUGAUAGAUCAAGGGUACAUGAGUAGCUGCAUUCCUCUGCUGGAGCCUCCAAACAAGCUCUCAAAACCCACAGAGCGAACAUAUCACUUAACAGAAAUAUUAAGUGCCUCAUACCUAAAAUGAGAUCAAGAAAGGAUGUCCCCUUUU
This 324-nucleotide small nuclear RNA is filed under the name Nannospalax galili (Upper Galilee mountains blind mole rat). RNAcentral describes it as "7SK RNA (ENSNGAG00000006540.1)". It matches the Rfam family "7SK RNA". From Rfam's summary of the family: 7SK was discovered as an abundant small nuclear RNA in the mid-70s but a possible function has only recently been suggested. The record is from Rfam by way of RNAcentral. Lineage: Eukaryota; Metazoa; Chordata; Mammalia; Rodentia; Spalacidae.